RNAcentral lists this non-coding RNA (85 nucleotides) under Aspergillus ruber CBS 135680. Lineage: Eukaryota; Fungi; Ascomycota; Eurotiomycetes; Eurotiales; Aspergillaceae. The record is from Rfam by way of RNAcentral.
GCGGUUUUUGUGGAUGUUCUUUGUCCGCUUCUCAAAACGCCCUCCAAACCACUCCGGUGAUGAGGAGAGGAAACAAAAACUUGUC